This 1047-nucleotide long non-coding RNA is filed under the name Homo sapiens (human). Its description in RNAcentral is "HSALNT0308860". Lineage: Eukaryota; Metazoa; Chordata; Mammalia; Primates; Hominidae. The record is from RNAcentral.
GUUUGGGCGUUUUCAGGCGGCCUCCUGAGAAAUGUUUGCAAUUGUAAGGCGUCUCUCUCAUCCAGGUUUACCCAGAUUCGCAAACUAUGGCGACAAACAACCAUAGCAGAAGCAUGUCCGGAUUAUUUCACAUAUAUCACAAAAUCCUGCAAAGGGUCUGUCCCCAUUGGAUCACCUCCCAUCACGCCACACACGACGUGAAUGACUUCGUGCUUCUCCAUACCUGCAUUGAUCUCUGGGUCCAUUGCCAGUUAUAAACCUCCAAGGGCAAUAGCCAUGAGGUAACGAGGAGACCAAAGGCCUAGUUAUUUAUGGAGAUCUGGGGCCACAGCAGAGCUCCUCAUGGCAGGAUAAGGCAGUGGAAAGCAGACUCAACGGUUAACCCACAGUCCUCCUCAGCAAGCUGGGAGAAGCAACUGAUGCCACUUAGAUGCUUAGACCGGGCCUUCUGGGAGAGAUCUGGCCCAAGGAGCAGCCGGCAGCUUGACACAGUGACCAAUUGGAAGCACAGCAGCCACACGCCAUGAAACAAGGUGAUCAUCUUCACUCAUUUCCUGAGGCCAGAGCCUUCCUUACGCAGGACAUGGAUACCCCAGUCCCAGCUGUGCUGAAGCGUCAGGAAGCCUCCCCCGACCCCACCCUGAACAACAGUGAGGGGGGUUAGGUGUCCUCAAAAGAUCUACUCUGUCAACUGGAGUUGUUGAGAAACUCAGGAAAGGGAACUAAAAAGGAUAAGAAAGUGGUGCAUUCCAGUGUCUUCCUGUUCUCUGUUGCAGAGAGCCAGCUGGUGGACCGCAGAGACAGACUUCCAGCCAGGGCCAAGCCCUUCAGGAAGGGAGUCAUGCACCAAACUCAGCUAACAGACCACCAGGGCACCACUGGGUCUCCUGCUGGGGAACAGCACACCUAUGGGUGGGCUCUAGGGGUGGGGUGGCCUGGUUGCUGGUUCUGCUCUGCCACUUCUUAGCUGGACUUGAGCAAUUUGUAACAUUUCUUGGCUCAGUUUCUCCACCUGCACAAUCAAAAUAUCACUACCUUCCUCCAAGA